This 76-nucleotide transfer RNA is filed under the name Dermatophilaceae bacterium. Its description in RNAcentral is "tRNA-Arg". It matches the Rfam family "tRNA". From Rfam's summary of the family: Transfer RNA (tRNA) molecules are approximately 80 nucleotides in length. Lineage: Bacteria; Bacillati; Actinomycetota; Actinomycetes; Micrococcales; Dermatophilaceae. RNAcentral also lists the same sequence under 1 other name. The record is from RNAcentral.
GCCCCCGUACCUCAGCUGGAAGAGGGCCCGACUACGAAUCGGGAUGCCGCGCGUUCGACUCGCGCCGGGGGCUCCA